RNAcentral lists this ribosomal RNA (670 nucleotides) under uncultured Bacillus sp. RNAcentral's name for it is "bacterial SSU rRNA". It matches the Rfam family "Bacterial small subunit ribosomal RNA", at positions 38 to 691 of the family's 1533-position model. Lineage: Bacteria; Bacillati; Bacillota; Bacilli; Caryophanales; Bacillaceae. The record is from RNAcentral.
GGCGGCGUGCCUAAUACAUGCAAGUCGAGCGGAUUGAUGGGAGCUUGCUCCCUGAUAUUAGCGGCGGGCGGGUGAGUAACACGUGGGUAACCUGCCUGUAAGAUUGGGAUAACUCCGGGAAACCGGAGCUAAUACCGGAUAACAUGUUGAACCGCAUGGUUCAACAUUGAAAGAUGGCUUUUGCUAUCACUUACAGAUGGACCCGCGGCGCAUUAGCUAGUUGGUGAGGUAAAGGCUCACCAAGGCGACGAUGCGUAGCCGACCUGAGAGGGUGAUCGGCCACACUGGGACUGAGACACGGCCCAGACUCCUACGGGAGGCAGCAGUAGGGAAUCUUCCGCAAUGGACGAAAGUCUGACGGAGCAACGCCGCGUGAACGAUGAAGGCCUUCGGGUCGUAAAGUUCUGUUGUUAGGGAAGAACAAGUACCAGAGUAACUGCUGGUACCUUGACGGUACCUAACCAGAAAGCCACGGCUAACUACGUGCCAGCAGCCGCGGUAAUACGUAGGUGGCAAGCGUUGUCCGGAAUUAUUGGGCGUAAAGCGCGCGCAGGUGGUUUCAUAAGUCUGAUGUGAAAGCCCACGGCUCAACCGUGGAGGGUCAUUGGAAACUGGGGAACUUGAGUGCAGAAGAGGAAAGUGGAAUUCCAAGUGUAGCGGUGAAAUGCUU